GGAAGAUCAUCGUCCCCGGUGGGGCGGCCGGACUUCAAAUCCGGUUGGGGCCGCCAGCGGUCCCGGGCAGGUUCGACUCCUGUGAUCUUCCGCCA
Molecule: transfer RNA, 95 nt
Filed under: Escherichia coli
Lineage: Bacteria; Pseudomonadati; Pseudomonadota; Gammaproteobacteria; Enterobacterales; Enterobacteriaceae
Also listed under: 38 other names
Description: tRNA-Sec
Rfam family: Selenocysteine transfer RNA
Source: RNAcentral